Long non-coding RNA from Castor canadensis (American beaver), 2947 nucleotides. NCBI's taxonomy places the organism in Eukaryota, Metazoa, Chordata, Mammalia, Rodentia, Castoridae. The record is from Ensembl.
GGAAUCGGCUGCCUUUGCUGCCGUGACAACCAGUUUUCCUACUCUCACAUCUUACAGCUAGCAUCAAAGUGGGACGCAGCGGAACUACAUUUCCCAGCAGCCCUCGCGCGGGCUCUUGCCCUUCCGUGCAGCGGUCCCAAAACCUCAGUGCCACAGACGCCUGGAGGAGGCGAAAGGAAAGCUGGGCGCUGUGUGCGCGUCGGGGACCAGGAGACCCGUGGGGGCUGCCUCCAGCGAGCAAACGCUCAACAACCGAGCUACAUGCCCAGCCCAGGCCUGUGUGUUGAAGGUUGCUUUUCCAUGAGGCCCAACCCGGAAGGAUGGAGGUUUCAUGGAGAGAACAAGCAGAGAAUGGAGUCGUGCCUGCAGAACCACUAUUCAGGAUCAGUGUUGCAGCCUGGCCUCAGGAUGGAGGCUCCAGCUCAGGAGGCAGAGCAGGGAGGAAUCCCCAAGGCUGAUCCAAGGGAGGAGGGGCACCUCCAAGAGGAUGGAGCUGGUGGGUGCCCCACUUACCAUGAGGACCUGUGCAGAGGGAUGACUGGUGUCAGGAAGACUCCCCCAGGCUGCAGCUCACAGUUCUGCAGCCUGAAUUGAGCCCCAGCUCUGGGACCCAUCACAGAACUGGAGCUGGACCUCUGGUACAGGAGCAUUACAGCCCCGCUUCCUCUCAGGACCCCGACCUGGUCACUUCUCUGGGGCCACAUGCAGGGGAGGGCCCCUGUCAGAGCCCACCUGGUGCCAGGUCUUCCCUGGCACAACAUCACAGAGCAUCUCGCAGGGAAAAGUCCCCUGUUUGUGACCACCGCGGUGAUCAUGUAUUGCUUGGGGGCUGCUCCUGGGCACAGCUGCACGAUGUCCCAAAGGACUGUCAGCUCUGCCAACUGGGGGCGGAGGUCCAGAACUGCCAGAGGAACCUGCCAUUGACCUCCUUCCAAUGGAGCUCCUCUGUGGGGCAGCCCUGUGCAUGCAACUCCAGCGAGGCUUUCACCUGGAGAGCCCUGCUGGCCCUGCUGUGGAGCCCCACCCAUGUGCCAAUGCCUCCAGCUCCUCAGCCCAGCGGCUGUAUGCAUGUUCCAAGUGUGGCCAGUCCUUCAACCAGUGCUCCAACAUCAAUGAGCACCAGAAGCGUCACAUGGACCAUGUCGCACCCUGACCUCGACCCACACUUGAGCUGAAUGUUGUGAGGAUGGGUCAGCUCAGCCAGCCACCUGGUGGUGGCUGACCCAGGGCCCUGAGGUGGAGUCCUGGAGGUGUAAAUUCACUGUCCCUGGUCCUGCCCUAGUGGGCUGCACGUGAGAGUGUUGAGCGUGCUGGGACUCAAAGGAAGUCACCAGUCAUGGCCAGAAAUAGGAUCCCAUCUACAGCUGGUAUUCUGUUGAUUCCCUGGGUCUGGCUGGGACAUGUUUCAGUGUUUCUUGACCUAAGGAAAGUAGUUCACAGAGUGGAGACAGUAAAUGCGGAUCCUGCAAUGAGGUGCAGCCAUGCAGAGAUGGGCCAGAAUUGGAUGCCCCAGCUGGUACAGUGUUCUCUCAGAAUCAUGUGAAUUUGCGAUCCAAGGCUCAAGGUGUCUCCCAGAAAUGGGUUGAAUGGGAGACCUUUCUUUCCUACCUCCCAUCUGGAACAAGGCUGCACAAGGAUUUUUCUUUUUUCAGGUAGGGGCCAGAGAGAGGCCAAAGCCUUGUAGAUGUGAACCCAGAGGGUGGAAGGAGGCCUAGUGUAGUGGGGAGGUGAGGGGCAUCUGACAUCCCCAGUCUCACCUGCUUAUCUUAUGGGAGGGGGCACCUCACUCUUGCAUUUUGUCUGUUCUCUCCACAGUUCUAGCCAGAAGGCCAUUUAAAAAAAUCUGCCCAGCUUGAAGUACUUCUGGCUCCUCUGGACCCAGUACUGUAUCCACAGACCUUAGGUUGGUAGGGUCCUCUUGUCCUGCACAGGCUUAGUGAGGGGGUCUUGGAUCUCUUUCCUGCCAUCACCCCUGCUUGUCUUCUCUGAGAGGGGCAGACUAUCCACACACAGACCAGCCAGGAAGAUUUGAGAUGGUGAUGCUUGGGUUGAUGGAAACCAGGCUAGGUGGGGGAUAGGAUGGGGAAAGCAGAAAGCAGACCAUGGCAGGUGAGUAGCAAGGCCUAUCUAGGACAGGAGGGGCAGGGGGAGCCUGCCUGGGAGGUUGGCAAGUGUGUGGGGGGCUGUGCAUAUACAUAAUGUUACAUAUGAUAAAUGCACUUCAAAGUUCCUAUGUCCAGAAGUCUUGGAUUCUUCUCCACAUUAUACCAGAGGAGCUCUGGAAGUUUAAGUCUCGUAGAAUUUGGGCCACAACUGAGUCCAGGUCUCAGUCAAACUCCCAGACUAACUUGAUAUUCAAGCUGCUCUAGCUAACACCUGCACCCAGUCUUGUAACUGCCCCAUAUAGAUAACAUUGAUCCAGGCCAGUAUUGUAUCCCAUCCUUGGACCAAAUAUACUUUAGAUGCCAAUUCUGGCUCAUCUCUGUGUGGAUGUUCCCCAGUUUAUGUCAAUGACAGGAGCAAAGUCUUGUAAUUAUUUUGGAGUAUAAUCAGUAUCCCUCACUUGUCCAUCCAGAAGCUCCAGGAUCAACAGAAGUCUAGGGCUAGGGGCAUGGCUUAAGUGGUAGAGCACCUUCCUAGUAAAUGUGAAGCCCUGAGUUCAAACUCUAGUACUGGCCAGAGGAAAAGGGGAGGGGGGAGGGAGGGACGGGUGUCUAGUGGCAGUAAGGGGAUGAUGGAUUGAGAGAAUGUGGGGUCCCCUUGCCAGGCAACUGCCUCAGGUGAGAUUUUUGUAGGUCUUAAGUAAUGACAGAUUGAUCAGGGCAUCCCUAGAAAUGAAGUGGAUGUGUACUCUACUAAACUUACAUGGCUUAUGUGACAAAUAAUCUAGAUCCAGUGUUUUAGAAGUCUGAUUUGAGUUGUCAGAAUAAAGAUUCACAGCCUGUCA